CAUAACCCAAUAUAUUUACUAUUAGAACACACACCAUAAAAGGUGUCUUCAACUACAUAGGUAAAACCCCUCCUCAUCAAUGGACAUGAAUUACUAUCUCAUGAAUUCUAUGCCCUUUCUUUACCUUAGACCAAAGCUUUUUCCUCUUCAUGGGAUUGCAAACCUUGGGCCAAAGUCUUUCUUCCUUCAUGAGACUUAAUAGACGAGUGCCACUCUCCUCAAUAAGCAAAAGGCUCCCAUUCACAAUGGGUGAGAGCCCUUUUUCAUAGGCUGAAAGCCACUCUCUGCAAUGGGCAAAGCCCCUCUCUGCAAUGGGAAAGAGCCAAGUAAUAUCUCCACAAUAUUCCUAUUUAUAGUAUUACUCGUUCCAAUCCUAAUCUGAUUAGGAGUCC
This 392-nucleotide unclassified non-coding RNA is filed under the name Hevea brasiliensis (rubber tree). The record is from RNAcentral. Lineage: Eukaryota; Viridiplantae; Streptophyta; Magnoliopsida; Malpighiales; Euphorbiaceae.